RNAcentral lists this long non-coding RNA (398 nucleotides) under Brassica napus (rape). RNAcentral describes it as "long non-coding RNA (BNAP_LNC021200)". Lineage: Eukaryota; Viridiplantae; Streptophyta; Magnoliopsida; Brassicales; Brassicaceae. The record is from RNAcentral.
GAGAUAUAAUUUUGUUCCUGGCUUUGUGUUUUCUCUAACUAUUUCAGGAACAAUGAGUGAAGAGAGGCGAGAUGGAAAGCAACCUGAGAGUUCAGGAGAACCGGCUGUCCAGCAAAUCAACCUCAACCAAGUUCAAUUUGAGGCUAUGAUAGCUGAGAUAACCAGAAGAAUGCAAAACACUUACAACCGUGUUCAACAAGCUAAUGAAACUUUACCUGGUGAUAAUGCAGGGCAAGAGAGGGACGCGGUUGCUGCUGGAGUUCAGAGAGCACGCAUUGGACCUAUAAGAGGGCAACGAGUUGAGCUUAGGGGUCGUGGGAUUUAUGGAGAACAUUAUCAAGAAGAUUCAGCUGAUGAAAGUGAUGAUGGAUCUCAGGCUAGUCAUCAUGGUAGAAAUC